UGGGCGUAAAGAGCUUGUAGGCGGUUUGUCGCGUCUGCUGUGAAAGGCCGGGGCUUAACCCCGUGUAUUGCAGUGGGUACGGGCAGACUAGAGUGCAGUAGGGGAGACUGGAAUUCCUGGUGUAGCGGUGGAAUGCGCAGAUAUCAGGAGGAACACCGAUGGCGAAGGCAGGUCUCUGGGCUGUAACUGACGCUGAGAAGCGAAAGCAUGGGGAGCGAACAGGAUUAGAUACCCUGGUAGUCCAUGCCGUAAACGUUGGGCACUAGGUGUGGGGAACAUUCCACGUUUUCCGCGCCGUAGCUAACGCAUUAAGUGCCCCGCCUGGGGAGUACGGCCGCAAGGCUAAAACUCAAAGAAAUUGACGGGGGCCCGCACAAGCGGCGGAGCAUGCGGAUUAAUUCGAUGCAACGCGAAGAACCUUACCAAGGCU
This 430-nucleotide ribosomal RNA is filed under the name uncultured bacterium. Its description in RNAcentral is "bacterial SSU rRNA". It matches the Rfam family "Bacterial small subunit ribosomal RNA", at positions 555 to 981 of the family's 1533-position model. The record is from RNAcentral.